Molecule: ribosomal RNA, 497 nt
Filed under: uncultured bacterium
Lineage: Bacteria
Description: partial 16S ribosomal RNA
Rfam family: Bacterial small subunit ribosomal RNA
Source: RNAcentral
ACGAACGCUGGCGGCGUGCCUAAUACAUGCAAGUCGAGCGGACGGAUGGGAGCUUGCUCCCAGACCGUCAGCGGCGGACGGGUGAGUAACACGUGGGCAACCUGCCUGUAAGACUGGGAUAACUCCGGGAAACCGGGGCUAAUACCGGAUAACUCUUUCCCUCACAUGAGGGAAAGCUGAAAGAUGGCAUCUCGCUAUCACUUACAGAUGGGCCCGCGGCGCAUUAGCUAGUUGGUGAGGUAACGGCUCACCAAGGCGACGAUGCGUAGCCGACCUGAGAGGGUGAUCGGCCACACUGGGACUGAGACACGGCCCAGACUCCUACGGGAGGCAGCAGUAGGGAAUCUUCCGCAAUGGACGAAAGUCUGACGGAGCAACGCCGCGUGAGUGAUGAAGGUGUUCGGAUCGUAAAACUCUGUUGUCAGGGAAGAACAAGUACCGGAGUAACUGCCGGUACCUUGACGGUACCUGACCAGAAAGCCACGGCUAACUACGUG